AGGAGGGCAUGGGCUAUUUAUGGACGCGCUCGGGCUCGAGGAUUAAGGGACGGAGCGAGGGGAAUCCGGCGGUGAGCGCGCGGCGGCGAAGAAGGAAGGCGCGCGGCAGACGCGGGGGCUUUCCUUCCGGGGAAGAAGCCCCUGACAGGUGGGCCCCACCUGUCAGCGGGUGCAGGCACGCGCGCGGGGCGGCUGGGCUAGCGGGGCUGCGGCGCGAGCGAGGGAGUUGGGCCGGUUUGGCCCAAUUCGGCCGGGCCGGUCCGUUUGCUCCUUUUUUUUUCUUUUACCCUUUUCUUUUUCUGUUUUUCUUAUUCCUUUGAUAUUUUUUGAUUUUGAACUCCAAAUUGGUCCAAAUAAAUCCUAGAAAAUUUGUAAAAUCAUGUUCUACCAUGAUACAACUUUUGGAAGCAGUUUCUCUUCAAAAUAAAAUAUAUAAAAAUACAUUUGGCCUAUAAUGCCUUUAGGGCCAUAUAUCUAUUUAAAUAAAAUACCUUUUCCACUCCAAUAAUUAUCCAAAAAUUAUGGGAUAGCUUAUAUAUGCACUAAACCCCUUUUAUACAUAAAACCUAUUGGUUUGAAAAUCCAAAACUCAAAUGGGUGUAAACCCUAGGGUUCAAAAUGAAACAAAGUCUUUUAAAGCCCUUUUGAGAUUCAAAAUUUGAAUUCAAAUAUGCAAUUGUGGCAUGAUGCUCAUGGGUGCAAUGCAUAUAUAAAAGUUUGAAAUUUUGGGAUGUUACAAACAUCAGUGUCGGUUGCGGCCACGACCGUUACCGAUGAACCGAGCGGGCACUG
RNAcentral lists this long non-coding RNA (792 nucleotides) under Brachypodium distachyon (stiff brome). Its description in RNAcentral is "long non-coding RNA (BDIS_LNC004202)". The record is from RNAcentral. Lineage: Eukaryota; Viridiplantae; Streptophyta; Magnoliopsida; Poales; Poaceae.